AGAGUUUGAUCAUGGCUCAGGAUGAACGCUGGCGGUCUGCUUAACACAUGCAAGUCGAACGGAAUCUUUCGGGAUUUAGUGGCGGACGGGUGAGUAACGCGUGAGAAUCUGCCUUCAGGUUCGGGACAACAGUUGGAAACGGCUGCUAAUACCGGAUGUGCCGAGAGGUGAAAGCUUAAGUGCCUGGAGAUGAGCUCGCGUCUGAUUAGCUAGUAGGAGUGGUAACGGCACCCCUAGGCGACGAUCCAUAACUGGUCUGAGAGGAUGACCAGUCACACUGGGACUGAGACACGGCCCAGACUCCUACGGGAGGCAGCAGUGGGGAAUUUUCCGCAAUGGGCGAAAGCCUGACGGAGCAAUACCGCGUGAGGGAGGAAGGCUCUUGGGUCGUAAACCUCUUUUAUUAGGGAAGAAGAUCUGACGGUACCUAAUGAAUCAGCUCGGAUCCCGC
This 451-nucleotide ribosomal RNA is filed under the name uncultured cyanobacterium. RNAcentral describes it as "bacterial SSU rRNA". It matches the Rfam family "Bacterial small subunit ribosomal RNA", at positions 8 to 506 of the family's 1533-position model. Lineage: Bacteria; Bacillati; Cyanobacteriota. The record is from RNAcentral.